CCUACGGGGGGCUGCAGUGGGGAAUAUUGGACAAUGGGGGGAACCCUGAUCCAGCCAUGCCGCGUGUGUGAAGAAGGCCCUCGGGUUGUAAAGCACUUUCAGUGAGGAAGAACGCCUGGUGGUUAAUACCCAUCAGGAAAGACAUCACUCACAGAAGAAGCACCGGCUAACUCCGUGCCAGCAGCCGCGGUAAUACGGAGGGUGCGAGCGUUAAUCGGAAUUACUGGGCGUAAAGCGAGCGUAGGUGGCUUGAUAAGCCGGUUGUGAAAGCCCCGGGCUCAACCUGGGAACGGCAUCCGGAACUGUCAAGCUAGAGUGCAGGAGAGGAAGGUAGAAUUCCCGGUGUAGCGGUGAAAUGCGUAGAGAUCGGGAGGAAUACCAGUGGCGAAGGCGGCCUUCUGGACUGACACUGACACUGAGGUGCGAAAGCGUGGGUAGCAAACAGGAUUAGAUACCCUAGUAGUC
RNAcentral lists this ribosomal RNA (465 nucleotides) under Vreelandella stevensii. RNAcentral describes it as "partial 16S ribosomal RNA". It matches the Rfam family "Bacterial small subunit ribosomal RNA", at positions 338 to 795 of the family's 1533-position model. Lineage: Bacteria; Pseudomonadati; Pseudomonadota; Gammaproteobacteria; Oceanospirillales; Halomonadaceae. The record is from RNAcentral.